This 4961-nucleotide long non-coding RNA is filed under the name Sparus aurata (gilthead seabream). Its description in RNAcentral is "lncRNA (ENSSAUG00010008565.1)". The record is from RNAcentral. Lineage: Eukaryota; Metazoa; Chordata; Actinopteri; Spariformes; Sparidae.
GAGAGAGGCUUUCAAAGGGUUUUCCAGACCAAAACGUUCAGCGGCGACAAUGUGGUGUACUGCAACAAAUGUAAAAGGAAAACAGAGGCGACGAGUGUGAGUAGUCAGAAAUGGUAAUAGGAAGUCAAUUCAAGAGUUUACAUGUUUGUUUACAAACGGUCUGUGGUGUCCAAUGAUCGUUCUUGUGUUAUUUAGGGAUGUGAGAUGACGAAGCUCCCUCAGAACUUGAUUCUGCUCCUCAAGAGAUUCGACUUUGAUUACAGCACCAUGUCACACGUCAAAUCUGACCACUGUGUGGAAGUGACAAGCCUACUAAAGGCACAGGCAAGAGGAAGUUACUUUGUGUUUCUAGGGUUUGCGUUGAACUCGUUCCCCUGUUCCUGACUGUGUUCUUCAUCGCAGAAAAAGACGUACAAACUGUAUGGGAUGGUGAAUCACAUGGGUGGUCUAAGUGGUGGACAUUACACAGCCACCAUCCUGUCCAAGAAGGACAAAACCUGGUAUGAGUUUGAUGACGCUCACGUCAGAAAGGUGAGCGAUGAUUUAACUCGUCCACUGGUGACACAGAACUUGAUGUUUACGAUGAAUGACACAUUAUGAUGUGAUUAAAUGUGGCUCUUAAUGGUGCAGGCUGUAGGACAACCGUCUGCUAAGAAGAUUUACAAGUAUGUUCAAUGGAUCCCAUUCUAUCACAUCCAAUUGAAUUUUCUGUUUCUUGAUGACUGAAUGCUGUUAACUUUUUGUUACUCUACAAAUGGUUGUACAUUAGCUCCAGCACUGCAUAUCUACUGGUGUACAGAGGGAAGGACAAAGGGGGACGUUCAAGCGGAAAGAAGAUCAAACCAAGAUUGAAAAUGAUGACACCCGAGAAGAAGCAAAAAGACACAAAGUCUCAGAUGUCUAAAAAGACCAAGCAAGGAGGUGUGACAGGCGAGGCGGGGGAACAAGGGGAUAUCGGUUUCGAAGAACAGAAAGAAGACGAACAGCAAGAAGACAAAGAACAGCAAGAAGACGAACAGCAAGAAGACAAAGAACAGCAAGAAGAUGAACAGCAAGAAGACAAAGAACAGCAAGAAGACGAAGAACAGAAAGAAGAUGAAGAACAUCAAGAAAAUGGCAACGAACGAAACACUGAUGAUGAAGAAACCACACAGAUUGGGCAUGAAGAGGAUGAGGGACAGAUGAGAAAGGAAAGGGAGGAAGAGAGACUUCAGGCUGGAGGAGAUGAAGUCGCAGAAAAUCGAAAGCCUGCUGUGACCUGUUCAGACAAUCUGCCAGAUGUGGAAACAACAAUUCUCUAAGAAAGGAGACGAAGCAGAAAAGGGUAAAUUCUGCUCGAUCCGGCCAGAAUACAAGCUCACAAGAACACAACUUCAGUCUACAGCACACCUUAUGAAAUCUUAAUAAAGGUGCACUAUUCACUUUUGGGGAAGACAGAUUAAUCAGGAGAGAACCUCAACAAUACAGUUUUACUUUGUUUAUAUGUGUAAAUAUAGUAAAUAUAUGUUCAUUUGAUGUUUAUAGUGAGAACAGCUUUUUUAUUCACUUAUGGAAAAAAUAUAUUAACUAUUAACUAUAUGUCUGAGUUUGUAUCAUGACCUCAUUGAUAUUGUGGAUAAAUUCUGAGUUUGAAUUUCUUCAAAACUACAUUGUGCCCCUUUAAUAUAAGGAGGAGGAGAGGUCUGACUUUAGCACUCAUUGUAUCCUGUACAGGUGCAGAAAAUCUAACUAGAUAUCAAAGAAAUCAAGAACAUAAUUAGUGUAUGAACAGACUAUUAUGGAAUUGAGGUGGUUGACCACCAUGUGUAGAUUUGCAUGAAUUUUCCAUGUUCAGUUUGAAAUAAAAACUUGAAACAAACGACUGUCAUAAUGUACAUUACACAACUGUCGUAAAAUCAAAGGCUACACCCAAACAAAAUGAAAAGAACAGAAAAUAUAAUGCUUAUGGCUGUCAGGGGAGGUUUGAGUUAUUUUGUUUUGUUUAAUUCUGAUGAUCUGAUUUUCAUACACACUGAUACACUGUUGGGAUGAUAUUAGAAAUAUAAACCAAUAUUCAUACAAUUCAAAUUACAUUUAUUGUGAUAUUUUUCUUUCAGAUAACAGAAUAUAUGUAGCUAUCUCAUCAUAAAUGUAUAAAGAAGACAGAAGAAAGAUUUACAGUACAUGUCUUUCUGAGUCAUAAUAUCUUUCAUUGUGACAGUUAAUUUAUUUUUUGUCAACUGGUUAUUGAGCGAUAACUUGUUCUCUCUCCUAAACUUUGACACAUAAUCCAGUUAGGGGUCAUUUCAUAUCCGGAUAAGCCAACACAUGAAAAUGCCUUCAACAUUUUUACUCAUAUGUUAUCAGUCGUUUCAACUCCUUUUACUUACAUAUCAUAUUUAUUCGUCUGGUAUAAAAAGUAUAACACAUUUUCUCAUACAAUGUCAAUAACAUGCAAUGGCAUAUUAAAAGUUAACCAAAGCUCCCAGAAGAGUUUUACUUUCAUACUUACCUGUUUUUACCCUUUGCUGUCUUCUUAACUCUACAGUACAAGUAAAGAAGUAUAGUUCAACAAGAGCUAUACAUUGUGAUAUUUCCCAGACUGACUUUGGCACAUAUUAGGACCUAUUCACCCCAUCAGACCCUUGAACAGAGCUAAAAUACAAACCAAAAGUAUAUUUAUAAACAAAAGAUUUGUAAAAAGAAAAACAAGCAUAGGUGGAAACAAAGUGACAAUGAUUGAUUUAAUAAAUACAUUAUGGAUAUCACAAUGACGGUGUACUGUGAGAUAAUAUUAAGGAAGUUGAGGCAAAAUGACAAGAAAUUCAUGAUGCAAAUGCUUCAGCUGUACUGAGAAGGAAGAAAUUCUCAUGUUGUUAUGUUGUGACAACUUUUAUUAGAAAGGUGCAAAAAGUAUCUCAGGCUCUUAAGUGUUACUGGAAACUUGUAUGGGGUAAAAUGCCUUACUAAGUAAUGACAACUGUGAUGAUCGGCAUCAUGAAGAACACAUUCAAAGACAAAGAGUUGCGUAUUUUCAGAUGACAGUAUCCAAUAAACUAUGUCCUGCACCACACAGGUAUAGAUCUCUGUCUGGGUGCAACACCAGUGGGGCAAAGAUUGUAUGCGUUGUACUGCAGACAGUCCUUGGUUUUUUUCAGGCACACGAAACAGAAUUUCACCUUACACCGACGACAGACCAUGCUUUUACACUGUUUUUUGUUAUGCUCCACCAGCAUACCACAGGUGGGACAGGCACGAAUGGAGGGACAGCCGUUGACCCCCUUCACACUCUCAAAGACGAUGUUCGGACAAUUCCUCAAUGUCUCCAAGGGAUCUGGGCAGUCGUCAUUGUCACAGCGGUCUGAGCGAGGAGCCGGACCUUUCCAUUCCCUCAAACACUGCCAGCAGAACCUAUAAGUCCUUCUCUUGCUAGCUGUGCACACCGGGCACUCUACGUUCAGAUUGGAGAGAUCAUUUCUCACCACACGAGACUUGCAACCAGGACACUGUGAAGAGAAGCCACAUGGAAAAUGAACGAGAUUUUUCCAAAUGCAUUGUUGUGGUCGCUGAACAACUACUUAUUGUUAAUAGGGAUUUUUGAAUCCUAAAAGCAGAACACACUUACUUGUUUGAUGUCCAAGAAAUUCUUCGCAGCAUUGUGGAAUAUUUUCUUCUCAAAUUCUUCCACUUCUUCUGGAGUCAGAAGAGCCAUCUUAGAAACCUCGUCGAAGGACCACUCAACGUUACAGUUCGUUUGGCCGCACACAAAUUCAGACUUGCCCUUUGAAAGACAAUCAAAGUAAAACCUUUAGAGGGCACUGUGUAGUAUCUGAGAUGAAAUUCAUACUUAGAAUUUUAAUAUUUACAAUAUCAACAAUGAGGUAAUGAUAUGAACUCAGAAAUAUUACAUUUUUCUGUCACUAAAUAAACAAGCUCUUCUCAGAGGAAAAUGAGGUCCCAGAGCACUGUUUGAAGCUAGAGAGGUGGCAGGGUCCGCCAUAAAUAAACAAAGUAAAACUGUAUCAAAUGCCAUUGUCCAUUGUCAUUGCCCACUGUUGCUUUCAUGGUUGUCAUUAUCAAUGUACCAUUCCCAAGAAAAUCUAGUUCUUGUAUCGUCUGUCAGCUGAGGAGUCGCAUUAGGUCUUUUAUUAUUAUUAUUUUUUAAUAUUUAAACAUGUUUUAUUAUAUAACCAGGACUGUAGCUGAGUUGCAACUGAUGUUUUUAAUCUUUACAAUAACUCAAUAAAUGUUUUUAUGAAGCAUUUUAUUGUUUCUUAACAGCAAAAUAACUAUAAAUGUGCCAUGUAUGGUGAUUAUUACUAUAAAGUGUUGUAGUUAUAAGUUAUACGUUUUUGUUUUUGUUUAAGUUAUUUUUAGCAAAUAAGUAAGUUUAAUACAAGUAGGCUAAGUCUCAUUUUCAUAGAUAUUUUUUCCUAAUUUCCUAACUGGGCAGGACAUAGAUAUGUCUAAAAAUCCUGUCUACAGCCCUGGAUGUAAUUAAAUUUUGUUUAACAAGCAGCCGCUUUCCACUCAAGAAAUGAAAGAAUUCACCAGCACGUCUGUAAGUGUCACGGUGAAGGUGCAAACAUCUGAACAUCGUACCUCGUCCAACAACCUGCGACAAUGAUCGGUGAGAGACAUCGGAGUGACAGCAUGACCGCAGCCUGGCAUCUUUGCUCUGCGAGACUUGUAGCCGAUACACAAAACUGUGAGAAACACACAAGAAAAAGGAUGCAGCUGUAAGUAAGGUGUGUAAAAAAAUAAAUGAUAAUAACAAUAAAAAAUGAAUAGUAAAGGGAAUGUGAAAUGUUAAAUUGUACUUACAGUCUAACUCAUCUUCUCCGUCUACAAAUGUAAGCGUGCGGUCCUUUGGGUCGUAGCACUUCUCCCCUGAUGUUGGCUUCGUCCCGACAUUUCCUCUCCGUCUCCUGUCCUUGCGUUUGGACAAUCUGCCUCCCAUGUCGGCUCCCGAUGCUUAACCU